GGAGGAUUGGCCGAGUGGUAAGGCACCGGCUUGCUAAGCCGUGAUCAGGGCUCCGACCCUGCGCGCGUUCGAUCCGCGCAUCCUCCG
Molecule: transfer RNA, 87 nt
Filed under: Streptomyces sp. PKU-EA00015
Lineage: Bacteria; Bacillati; Actinomycetota; Actinomycetes; Kitasatosporales; Streptomycetaceae
Description: tRNA-Ser
Rfam family: tRNA
About the family: Transfer RNA (tRNA) molecules are approximately 80 nucleotides in length. Their secondary structure includes four short double-helical elements and three loops (D, anti-codon, and T loops).
Source: RNAcentral